CAUGCAAGUCGAGCGGAGAUGACGUGCUUGCACCUUAUCUUAGCGGCGGACGGGUGAGUAAUGCUUAGGAAUCUGCCUAUUAGUGGGGGACAACAUUCCGAAAGGAAUGCUAAUACCGCAUACGUCCUACGGGAGAAAGCAGGGGAUCUUCGGACCUUGCGCUAAUAGAUGAGCCUAAGUCGGAUUAGCUAGUUGGUGGGGUAAAGGCCUACCAAGGCGACGAUCUGUAGCGGGUCUGAGAGGAUGAUCCGCCACACUGGGACUGAGACACGGCCCAGACUCCUACGGGAGGCAGCAGUGGGGAAUAUUGGACAAUGGGGGGAACCCUGAUCCAGCCAUGCCGCGUGUGUGAAGAAGGCCUUAUGGUUGUAAAGCACUUUAAGCGAGGAGGAGGCUACUGAGACUAAUACUCUUGGAUAGUGGACGUUACUCGCAGAAUAAGCACCGGCUAACUCUGUGCCAGCAGCCGCGGUAAUACAGAGGGUGCGAGCGUUAAUCGGAUUUACUGGGCGUAAAGCGUGCGUAGGCGGCUUUUUAAGUCGGAUGUGAAAUCCCCGAGCUUAACUUGGGAAUUGCAUUCGAUACUGGGAAGCUAGAGUAUGGGAGAGGAUGGUAGAAUUCCAGGUGUAGCGGUGAAAUGCGUAGAGAUCUGGAGGAAUACCGAUGGCGAAGGCAGCUAUCUGGCCUAAUACUGACGCUGAGGUACGAAAAGCAUGGGGAGCAAACAGGAUUAGAUACCCUGGUAGUCCAUGCCGUAAACGAUGUCUACUAGCCGUUGGGGCCUUUGAGGCUUUAGUGGCGCAGCUAACGCGAUAAGUAGACCGCCUGGGGAGUACGGUCGCAAGACUAAAACUCAAUUGAAUUGACGGGGGCCCGCACAAGC
This 883-nucleotide ribosomal RNA is filed under the name uncultured bacterium. RNAcentral describes it as "bacterial SSU rRNA". It matches the Rfam family "Bacterial small subunit ribosomal RNA", at positions 54 to 930 of the family's 1533-position model. The record is from RNAcentral.